CCGCGCCGCCUACCUCCCCUGCAUCGCCGGCCACCGCCUCCCUCCCUGCACUAAUGGCCGCCAAAUCCCUCCCCCGCACCAACAGCCGCCGCAUCCCUUCCAUGCACCAACGGCCGCUCCAUCUCUCCCCCGCACCGAUGGCCGUUGUAUCCCUCCCCGUGCAGACGGUUGCUGCAAGCUCCUCCCGCUCAUGGCCGCCGCAACCUCCUCCCGGACGCCAACCUCCACCCCGCCUUCCCCCUCCGUUCUCCCUCACGCUCGGGGGCCGGCCAUCGUUCUUCCACGAGCGCAGCACCUCGAUCCACGGCCGGCCGACCUCCCUCGUCCCGUUUGCUGGACGCCGUCCAUGUCGUAUCAUUUUUUCUGCAAGAAAACCAACUUGGACUUCGUUGACGGCCUUUGCACCAUUUUCAGCGCCAACAGCUCCUUCCUUUGCCAUUGAUACAUCCAUCGUCAUGUACUGAGUGUUCCUUUGCAAGUUCAAUUAGUGUCAUCGCACAAGUUCAGAAGUUUGAUUUUGUGAAGAAGUAUGGAAAUUCUCAGUGCAAAUGUGGAAAACCAGAAAGUUCUAAUAAUGGUGUACCAAAAGUUCAAGGAUAGUAAUCCGGGGACGUGGGAGCAACUGCUGAUGGAGGCGGAGUCAAAAUCUUGUGACUGUCUGCUGCAGAUCUUCAGCAUGGACUUCGAUGAAGACACCUCUGAUGUUAAUGCGCUUCCGCAUUUUAAUAAAGAAGUUACAGAAUUUCAGUUCCUCGGUACUUAUAAGAUCUUCAGACGAUGACAGAGGAUGCCCAUGUGUACUGUGUACAAGCCAUCCAGCAUGUAUUAGGAUACAAUGGAAGAUUGGAUUUGGUUGUUGUUAAUUAGCAGCCACCUAAGCCUAGCAAUUGACCGUGGAGCACGUACUGGAUCCUUGACACGAUGCAAUUAGUCAUCAAUGUCGACGACUAAUUUAUUUUGUUUUGUACAAGUUAAAACAUCAGUGGCCAUAGGGAAGGAGACCUUCUCAGAUCGUGCCCCUGGACAAUGCAACAACGAAUUGGACGCCGUUUCCGCCUCUCUUCCAGCAGUGCCGAUGUCCCCUUCUAGGUCAGCACCAGUUUCCCCGCCUCAUGAUACGGUCUGCAGGUGCUUGUGAGUUGUCUGCUAGGUGUUGUUUAAGUGUCACAGACGACGUGUUGUCUCCUGGCAUCUGGAUUAGCUGUCGACUGCAAAUAAAAGCACGAGGGAGGCUGGAGUGACUGCAGACCGGUGACAAGAACCACUCUUCAGUUCUGCUAUUCGUGUAUUGGAAGUACAUAUCCUCUAUCCAGGUAAGAGGUAGAGGUAAUUUCUCCCCUAAUGCAUGUGUCAUGCGUGCCUUUUUUGGCCACACAAAGUCACUAACUGUCCUCAUUAGUAACUGCAAGUUGAACCACUACGAAGUGGCAUUUGCAGAAAUAUUGUGUUGCUACUUUUCUUAGUUGUAAUCCUGUGAACCAUUUAAUUAAACGGAUUACCAUUCCCUUUCCUAUAUAAAGGAUAUGAUUGAUGUGAUGCAGUAAUUCUUUCAUUUCCAUUACUAGCAAGUAAACAUUUACUAGUUCAUACUGAUGCAUAACUUUAUGCACAUGGUAAUUAAAAAAGAAACCAUUCGGAGAAUAGCAGUCCACGGUAGUCAGCUCCUAUUUCCACUAUAGUGGUUGGGUUGCUGUUUUCCUCAUCCUUCCCGGUGCGCGACAACCCAGCCCACAUAUUGCUGUCGUUCGCACCCCAAAAUAGCUUUGGCUCUUCCUCAAGCAACCAUUUGGAGAACCUUUUGGUGUUUUUUCUGCUGGUGAUUGAUUUUAGCAAUUUGUAGCUAUCUUGCGUAUUGAACCUGAAAGUUCAAGAUUGUUGUAGAUUCAAUUCUUGUAGUACAAAUGUCCCAGAGUUUAGUGACAUCUCUAAUUGAUGUAGUGUGGUCCUGCAUCUCCAAUGUAUGUUGCUCAGCAUCCUCCCAAUCUGCUCAAUAUCGUCCUGCUCCGGAGCAUGCUUCAGUUCAACAAAAAUCUCCAGAAAAUUUCAGAGUACAGAGUACUUUGCAUUUGUGGGCUAAAGUAUAUUUUUUUUUGUAAUUCUACAUCAUAAUCACCUAUAAUAUUAGCUUAUGUCCUCCAUCAUUAUUCUGAUUGCCGUGUAUACUGUACUCCCACCAUCCCCAGGUAGAGAACUGCGUGUUACACUUGCACCCUUCAGAUACAGAUAUUAGUACAUACAGUAUGUGAGGAGCAUGCAGUUUCUUAAUCUAAUAAUGCGCUCCAUUGAGUUAUUCUCCUUAUGCUAUGUUUGUGAUAAUGUGAGGAAGAUCACAGGAAAGUUACUGUGUUGUAUGAGUGUACACACAUUUGUUUGUUCGUGAAUUAAUUACAUGCGUUUCCUAAAAAGAUUUGUUGGCAGUACUUGCUUAUAUGUUGAAGAUUUCUGCUGGAAACGAGUUCAUUAUGUUGCCCCUGGACUUGUAGACGGAGUGUUGGCAAAGACAGCUAUGGAGAGGAAACUGUCGAUGGUGAAGAAUUGGGAGCCAGAAGAGCAAAGCCGACAGCAUGUGGCCCAAACUCUAGCUCAACUGAACUUUGCAUAAAUAAAUCCUCCUCUAUCUAUGGGUGUUUGGCCAAUCUUCUAGUUCAGGGCCUUAACUGAACUUAAUUGGAAAGAUGGUGUGCUGUAGGGCCGAGCAGAAGAUGUCACAAAUGUUGUUGGGUCAUGGCGGAACACCAAGUAGAAGGCGGUCCUUGAUGUGAAGCUCUGAAUGCCAGAGGUCUCGACUCUGAAUCUGGACCUUGCGUAGUUGCCUUUUUUGUGUUAGCUAGAUCAUUACUAGUGCUCAGUAGUACGACAAGUAGUAGUACUGAUCAGUACGACUUACACAAUACUAGUACUGAUCAGUACUAUUUUUAAUGUUAAAAGUAACAUCCAUACAGUAUUGACGAGUCAUACUGACAAGGAUGCUGUCUACAAUUCUAAACUUAUUGUUGACUCGUACUAGUUCUGAUGAAAUGGGAAGCAAGUGUCACAUGAAUCCUCAAUUGAAUGGGAAGGAAGGUUGCAAUGAGACCCUGGGAAAUCACUAUUUAUUUGGUUCUUAGAAAAACAUGGAAACAAUUCUCUGUGUGUUAGAAUAUCAGUCCAUGUGGAGAAGAACAUGUUUCUUAUAUGAAAAAUUAAUACAUUAUUAUCAGUUCAA
Molecule: long non-coding RNA, 3205 nt
Organism: Triticum dicoccoides
Lineage: Eukaryota; Viridiplantae; Streptophyta; Magnoliopsida; Poales; Poaceae
Exons: 3
Source: RefSeq, a predicted model, not a curated record